Molecule: ribosomal RNA, 395 nt
Filed under: uncultured bacterium
Lineage: Bacteria
Description: bacterial SSU rRNA
Rfam family: Bacterial small subunit ribosomal RNA
Source: RNAcentral
AUUGAACGCUGGCGGCAUGCUUUACACAUGCAAGUCGAACGGUAACAGGCCUUCGGGUGCUGACGAGUGGCGAACGGGUGAGUAAUGCAUCGGAACAUACCCAGUCGUGGGGGAUAACGUAGCGAAAGUUACGCUAAUACCGCAUACGUCCUGAGGGAAAAAAGCGGGGGAUCGCAAGACCUCGCGCGAUUGGAGUGGCCGAUGUCAGAUUAGCUAGUUGGUGGGGUAAAGGCCCACCAAGGCGACGAUCUGUAGCGGGUCUGAGAGGAUGAUCCGCCACACUGGGACUGAGACACGGCCCAGACUCCUACGGGAGGCAGCAGUGGGGAAUUUUGGACAAUGGGGGAAACCCUGAUCCAGCCAUGCCGCGUGCGGGAAGAAGGCCUCGGUUGUAA